Molecule: long non-coding RNA, 3276 nt
Organism: Equus caballus (horse)
Lineage: Eukaryota; Metazoa; Chordata; Mammalia; Perissodactyla; Equidae
Source: Ensembl
CUCACAGAGAGUGACAGUCACAGAGUGGCUCCAGGAGUCCCACCCACUUGCUCUUCCCCCGGGCAGCCGGUCAAGGAGGGCUCGUGUGGGGCAGGAGCCGCUGUCGUCUUGAGCACCGCCCUGGGGCUGUGCACAAGGUCCAGGACUCUCCAAGUCUUGAGGAGGGGCGGGGUCCUGGUUUACAGAGGCAGAAGCGGGCUCAGAGAGGCAAGUUAAGUUGCUCAAGAUCACACAGGGAGAAACAGAUGGAGCCAGGCCUGGACCUUGAGCCUGUACCCCAGUCUGCCCAGCCGCUGUCCCCUCUACUCCUGAAAGCCAACCAGCCGCGCGGCCUGUCGGGGAGCGAGGCUAACGGGCAAAGGAAACUAUGUGCGCAAGGGCCUGGAGGCCGGGAGCAGAGGCCGAAGCUUCCACGGCUUCUGUGUGGAGCACGUUUGGGGAAGACCCUCCAUCCCUCCUGUGUGCACCCCGUCCAGCCAGACCAGCAGCGCAGGCCCCCCGCAGCCAUCCUGGGAGCUCCAAGCACUGUGGGCCGUUGGGGCCCAAUCCCUGCCCAUGACCGCCUCAGUCUUCCAGCUGCACUUUGAUGCCUGGCCGGAAGGCAGAGCUCAGUGAGCUGGUGCUGCUGGGAAGCCGACUGACACAGGGUGUGGAUGCCCUGCGCACAGUGGGUGCUCCCGGUAAUGGCGCAGUGGCUCAAGAUGCCAGGGUCCCCUUGCUCCCAGGGCUGCCCCUCUCCCCACUCAUUCUGGCCCCUCCUGUGGGAGCUGGGAUGGGGCCUUGACUGAGGACAUGCCCACUUUCUCCAGAGCAAAGGAUUCGCCAAAACAGAGGUGACCAAAUGGACAGUUAUUUACUGCGCGGUGUCAGGAGUCAGGCCUGGGGCAAGAGCUUUGAGGAGAAAGGUUCCUGCCUCCGGAAUCAGGCCUGGUGGAGCUGGUGUCCCCAGCCAGGGUGGCAGGGUCCUCCCUGGGAGCGCCUUCGUUCCCUCUUCUGCAGGUGAGCAGCCUGAGGCCAGAGGGCGGUGGGAACCUGCACCGCUCGGCCCUUGUCCUCGCCGGCGAAGGAUGGAGGACUGGGAUCCAUGCGGAACACAGAGAGACCUCCAACACGCUUCCACGCGAUGCUUGGAGUCCAGGCUAUGCAAACGCAGUGGCAGGACAUCCUUUCCCACCUCCCAGAUGGGAACCUGACUAAGAAGCCCUCUGCCCCUGUUGAAAACUCAUGAGGAGUCCUGUGAGCUCCUGCAUGGCUUUGGAAGUGCGGCAGCCGCCAGAGGCGUCAGCUCCAGCCUCUCCGGGGGCAAGGAUCCAGUGUGACCACCUGCCAUCAGGCGCUGGCCAGUCUCCUCACAGUGACCCCCAUCAAGAACCCAGGCCAGUCCCUGCUGCUGGAAGGGGGGUGUUUACCAGCAACAGUGGCUGACUACUGUCGGGCCUGCGCACGGCUGCCACCGCGCCGCCUGCCACCGAGGCUGCUCUGCUCACAAACCCACUGUGCAAACUGGAGUGGUCCCCGGGCAAGUCCGUCUUCCCCUGGUUGUUGCAUCUGUCCUCUGUGAGGGCUACACACACGCUCCGUCCACCCUGUAACUUAGUCCCCAGGCUUCCUUGUCUCAGGUUGUCUAUUGCUCUCUCAGGGCCGUGAGUAACCAGCCAAGCUAGUGACUCCCGCCCAGGCGGCUGUAGAGGCCCAGUCCUCAGGCUGCUUUCCCCUCCCUGCACAGCGAGUAAUGGGGUGUACCACCUCCAGAGCUGCCCCUGGGAGCCUCUCUCUUUACCACUCUCCUUUAGGGACGCACCUGAGGGGGCUGUAGGAUGGCAGAGGUCCAUGUUUGGUUGCAGACACAUCUGUGAACCAGGCCUCAAUUUUUCCUGCUCCAUCCAUUGACCUUAGGAAACCCUUCCCUGAAGCUAUAGGUGGACAGAAGAAUAGGCGUGAGAACAAGAGAGGUGGGGAAUGCGAGGGUCUGGGCCCCUCGUCACGGACCUGUGCCACAGACCUGCUCGGGCCCCGUCCUGAGUGCCCCCUUCCAUGGCAGUGGAUCGCCGGUGGACCCGACCACCUUAUGACUCGGUGCCUCUGAUGACCGCCGGCUCCAGUCACGUGUUUAUGUCAUGUCCCAUCAGCAGACGCUCAGGCCCUGCAGGGCCCUGUGGCAUUCCAGACACUGCUCCUGGAACAGCAUGGCCUUGCCUCGGGACUCGCAGCAUCUGCACGUGCUAGCGGGGCUGGGCAGGGGCUCCGCCCGGGGCCUGCGCGCCGCCACCAGAGAGAGCUGCAUGUCGGGAGCCCCGAGGGGCAGCUUGACCACGGUCUCAACCUUCUGCAGAGACCUCUUUUGCCCCGGGCCCCACUCAGAGCUCACAUCAUGUGCCACAGGGGUCAGGGCGGUGUCCUCAAGUGUGACGUUUGCUGCAUCCCAGAUCCCAAGAGUCCCCUGAGAACUGGCCUCUUCCUUAGUGGUCAGCGGUGUGAGGGCAAGAGCUUGUCCUUUUCUCCAAAAAAGAUUUCCCAGCAUGCCCCAGACCUUGGGACCCCAGAUAUUGUCACUGCUGGGGCCAGCCUCACGUGCCUCGUGAGGAUAACAGGGUGCUUGCUCAAGCUGCCCCAGGUCCAGUUAGCGUGACGUCAUCAAUGGGCUGGACUGCCAUGACAUUCGGUGGCACGUGGAGACUCAGCAGUUCCGUCAGGGGCAUGUCAUGCUUUUUUCUCUGCAAUCAAACCCAAGUGAAACUCAGGGCAACCCUCUGCCGCUGUUAAGCUGCCGACAUAAUGCGGUCUGUUUCUGCGCCACUGGCCCCCCGUGUUCCCCAGCCUCUCUUGGGGUGUGUUCGUGUAGAUGACGAAUUAUGCUUCCUCCGAGGUUGAUGACGCUUAUUUUGGGUAAUGGGACUUGGGAGUGGUUACUUAAUUUUUCUUUUUAACUUUUCUAUCGUUUAAAUUUGUAAACUAAGUAUGUUAAUCAUCACAAAGGACAAACAUUUUUGGCACCUAUAUGAGAUGAUGGACGUUAACUAAACUGACUGUGGUAAUCAUUUGACGAUACAUGAAAGUCAAGCCAUUCUGCUGUGCAGCUUAAACUUAUACACUGCCAUAUGUCAAUUCUAUCUCAAUAAAACUGGAAAAAAUAAAAAUAAAAUUAUUCAAAGAAUGUUAAAUUUUUGUAAAACAACGUUGUGAGGGUCCAGAGAGCGCUGCUGAGUGCGCCGUGUGAGCCAUGAUGCUGCACCGGGUGCCUGGGUGGCACCAGUUCAGGCCACAGGGACCCUCUGG